This 301-nucleotide ribosomal RNA is filed under the name uncultured bacterium. RNAcentral's name for it is "partial 16S ribosomal RNA". It matches the Rfam family "Bacterial small subunit ribosomal RNA", at positions 509 to 809 of the family's 1533-position model. The record is from RNAcentral.
CAGCCGCCGCGGUAAUACGUAGGUGGCGAGCGUUGUCCGGAAUCAUUGGGCGUAAAGGGCUCGCAGGCGGUAUCUUAAGUCUGAUGUGAAAGCCCCCGGCUCAACCGGGGAGGGUCAUUGGAAACUGGGAAACUUGAGUGCAGAAGAGGAGAGUGGAAUUCCACGUGUAGCGGUGAAAUGCGUAGAGAUGUGGAGGAACACCAGUGGCGAAGGCGACUCUCUGGUCUGUAACUGACGCUGAGGAGCGAAAGCGUGGGGAGCGAACAGGAUUAGAUACCCCGGUAGUCCCUGUCUCUUAUAA